This 216-nucleotide long non-coding RNA is filed under the name Capsella rubella. Its description in RNAcentral is "long non-coding RNA (CRUB_LNC002420)". Lineage: Eukaryota; Viridiplantae; Streptophyta; Magnoliopsida; Brassicales; Brassicaceae. The record is from RNAcentral.
AAAGUUAGAAUUUGUAAUUUUGUGUAAGUGACGACAAAUCAUUCUGCGAUCAACUUGUGGCUGCAUUAUUGGUUGGGCGGUCCAUACAACACACACAUAAGCAGAAGAUAAACAUAAAAUUGUACGUCGGUCUUAUUCUUCCAUGCAAUUUGGUCGGUUUUCUCCUAUGGCCAUCUCUCAGAAACCCCAUAUUUUGGUUUGUUUAUUUAAUUCUGG